RNAcentral lists this long non-coding RNA (437 nucleotides) under Androctonus crassicauda. Lineage: Eukaryota; Metazoa; Arthropoda; Arachnida; Scorpiones; Buthidae. The record is from RNAcentral.
CACAUUAAAUGGGACAAAGCUAAAGUCAUAAAAACUUUGAAAAAAGAAAAGCAUGCUACCUUAGCUGAGACCUUGGAAAUUUACGCUAGUGAAAGAACAAGCAACCUAAUAAACAUUAAUCAACUGGCUAAGGAAUUACCCGCCUCAUGGAAAUAUCUCUUAGGUAAAGAAAACCUCCAGGUGGGGGAUGAGGAAUGGCCCUUUGCAUUAAUAGAAUACCACUUUAUUGAGGAUAAUGAUAUUGCGUGGAUCUGGAGUCAUGCGAAACCUAAGAAUAGUCUCUCAACACAAUUACCUAUAUGCUGUGAUUGUACAGAUAGUGUUUAUCUAUUUUGUUUUAUUUUAUUUUGUAUUUAAACCAUGUUUUGCUUAUCAGCUGUGCUUUAUUUUGGGCUUGUCUAUGUUAUGUAUCCUUAUCUUGCUGUAUUUAUGCGAUA